AACCUCCUGCCGUGUUCGCGAUUGCCAUAUAUUCCUUGAACCAUUUAUGUGCAUCGGUUGCGGAAUUUUGUUCGAUGGGCGUGAGCGUCGCUAGUCCGAUGGACCCGAAAUUGAACUAACUGUGACCACCUUUGAACCGUAAGGUUCGGGAUGCCGGCAAAGACGGCACAGGCGGGGCUAAU
RNAcentral lists this non-coding RNA (182 nucleotides) under Noviherbaspirillum saxi. RNAcentral describes it as "6S / SsrS RNA". It matches the Rfam family "6S / SsrS RNA". Rfam says of the family: E. coli 6S RNA was the first non coding RNA to be sequenced, but its function was unknown until recently. It consists of 184 nucleotides that fold into an extended hairpin structure with a large single-stranded internal bulge. The record is from Rfam by way of RNAcentral. Lineage: Bacteria; Pseudomonadati; Pseudomonadota; Betaproteobacteria; Burkholderiales; Oxalobacteraceae.